AUGGCAGCUUCCACCUCGCCGUGCUGCUGGCAGGACUGCGCCUCGUGGCACCCUGGGCACUCCCAAGCAGGUGAGACAGCAAGAAGAGAGGUCUUGUCACUGCUGCCGAUGUGCAUCAUGGCUGUGUGCUUUGUAGAAGAACUGAAGGUGAAUGCUGCACAGCUUGGAGCAACAACAAGCAACUUGAAGGCGUCGUGGCAAACUGGUGGUUCUCAUCCAUCUCUGUGUGAACAGAUCGUUGCUUAUGAAGUUGUUUUAGCAUGCUCUGUUGAGCCAUACGCUUACCUACAUCAGAGAGUGGAACAGAGCUGUGGCGAGACGUUUUGGAGGCUGGCAUCAACCGAGGGAAGGAUUAAGAAGAUGUACUGGGGGCCAUGUGCUUUGCCACAUCACAAAGAAAACCACAGGACUUCAGAUCAGAGGAGCUGCCAGAUGUACUUGCCUGGCAGAACACCACGCAAGGGUCACAGCUCAGGCUGCCAGACCGAGCAGGCUGCCUCAGCAAAGCAGGAUGGGGACAUCACCUGUUUCCAGAAAAGGGGCCACAGAAGAAAGAAGCUCGGAGCAAGCACAUAG
This 576-nucleotide long non-coding RNA is filed under the name Anas platyrhynchos platyrhynchos (common mallard). RNAcentral's name for it is "lncRNA (ENSAPLG00000022427.1)". The record is from RNAcentral. Lineage: Eukaryota; Metazoa; Chordata; Aves; Anseriformes; Anatidae.